This is a long non-coding RNA of Macadamia integrifolia, 1248 nucleotides long. RefSeq lists it as uncharacterized. The transcript has 2 exons. NCBI's taxonomy places the organism in Eukaryota, Viridiplantae, Streptophyta, Magnoliopsida, Proteales, Proteaceae. The record is from RefSeq and is a predicted model, not a curated record.
AAAAAAACAAAGCCAUUCGAUAGGUUUCUCAUUUUUUCCCCAAUCCCUCAUUCCUUCUCCGUCAGUCGGUCCCUCGGUCUAAGAAAUCAGAAGUAGAACUCAAUGAAUCAUUUUAUACUCCUCCGGUCCUUUUGCCUCUUACAUCCGUGAGAAGAAGCGACACAGCCGCGCAGCACAGUGAAUCGUGAUUCGUUAUUCGUGAUUCGUGAUUCGUGAUUCGUGAUUCGUGAUUCGUGAUUCGUGAUUAGUGAUACCGAUUACCGACGGUGGACUCUGCAAUUUAGAUUUUCGACCUGCUACUUCCCCUAGCUAAUCACUGGAAAUUGGUAUUAGCUAGCGAUACCGAUUACCGACUCUGCAAUUUAGAUUUUAGAGCUGCUACUUCGAGAUCGACAGCUGCGCAAUGGGAAAAAGGUAUUUCAAAGUUGAGCUACUUAAGCCUAAACAGAAUGGUGAGACCUAAGGAUAAAUUUUGGGAAUAUGUAGAGCAACGUGGUUUAGGCCGUUUCAAAUGUAACUAUUGUGGACGUAAUUAUUCUGGGAGUGUUUCAUGAGUGAAGGCUCAUUUAGCUUGUCAAGUUGGACAUGAUGUUCAAAUUUGCACCCAAGUUCCUGAGCACAUUCAAGCUGAUGCCUUGGUAGAAUUUAAUUUGAGUAGAUCUGCUAAGAAGAAGAGUGAUACUUUUGAAAGUGGAAUGGGUUCCACAAGAUGCACAACUUCCAUGCCUCAGGCUAAGAGUACACAUCAACUCACAAUGAUAGAGAUGGCUACUAAGCAAGAUAAGAAGUCAUUGGACAUGUUGGUAACUGAUUUUUUUGUCAGUAAUAACAUUUCCUUCAAUGUUAUUCCGAUAAAUUCUUUUAUUGAGAUGAUAAGGGGUGCAUGUGCAUAUGGUACAAGUUAUGUUGUAUCUAAUUAUAGCAAUUUUCGGGCCAGUUUGAUUCCUGGAAAAAAAAAAGCAGAAGUCAUGCAAUAUGUCAGCGACAUAAAGGCUGGAGUAUCACAGGUUGCACAAUUAUGUCCGAUUCUUGGAUUGACAUAAAGAAGAGGUCGUGGGUCAAUGUGAUUGCUUACUCUCCUGGGGGUGCUAUGUAUAUAUUGAGUGUGGUAUAAAUAGAUUAACUUCAAAAUUUCUUUUCAAUGAAAUUUUUUAUGUCAUUGAAACAGUUGGACCAAACAAUGUUGUGCAGUUUAUUUCAGAUAAUGGUUCUAACUUUUAUUCUUAUGGUGAUAUGUUGGCUGGAAAA